This is a long non-coding RNA of Esox lucius (northern pike), 1457 nucleotides long. Lineage: Eukaryota; Metazoa; Chordata; Actinopteri; Esociformes; Esocidae. The record is from Ensembl.
GUCUGUUUGGGUCUGUUCAUUUAAGAUGGCGUGGCUGUGUUUCAUGUUUUUCCUGACUACAUUCAUGGGUGUCAGUUCUGAGGAACUUAAUCCACUGAACAUUUUUGAAAACUGUUUAGAGGGAACCUCUGUCAUCCUGUCUUACAAGUACUCCAGAAAAGCAACUGGUGGGGAUACAUUUUUUUGGUAUCGUCAAAACCCAGCUCAAAAGCCAGAGCCCCUGCUGUAUAUCUUAGGUUCUGAUGAUGAAACUAAAGUAGAUACUCUGAAUUCAAGAAGGUCAGUUAAAAUGAGUAAAGAGAGAACCCAAGUGGAUCUGAUAAUCUCCUCAGCUGAAGUGACUGACUCUGCUCUGUACUACUGUGCUGUGAGGCCCACAGUGACAGGAAACCCAGACACCCUGUACAAAAACCUCAACAGGGACUUUCAGCAUGGAUUCACAAUGGUUUUGUAGGAUUUCUGUUUCAUCCAAAAUGCUUAGACAUUAAAAGAAUAAUACACACUGGCAAUAUGUAUUCAAAAAAUAUAUGUAUUAUUUAAGCUCUGCUUAAUUUGAUUUGAUCAUUGACAAUGCAAAUUUUAUGGGUAUUGAUAUUUUGCUAGUCCCAAAAUGUACACCUUCUAGACCAAGGCAGGUGUGGACGGUGACAGUGGAGAUCUAAAGAAUGUUUGGAGACAGUUUUGACCAAAGCAGACCAGGAGAUGAAUCAGACCCUAGUACCCAAGAAGAAGGAAAGGGCAACAUCGGUUGGGGCUUACAGGGGAGUGGGAUAGAAAGAACAGUAAAAUGGAGAAAAUGAAAAAGGAGAAAGACAGAUGGGUGAUAGAGAAGAAAUGUUGGAGAGGAUGAAGGAUGCACACAUACAGCUGUAUCACAUGUAGACUGUCCUGAGGUUCAGAGAGAAAGGAUGCACACAUACAGCUGUAUCACAUGUAGACUGUCCUGAGGUUCAGAGAGAAAGGAUGCACACAUACAGCUGUAUCACAUGUAGACUGUCCUGAGGUUCAGAGAGAAAGGAUGCACACAUACAGCUGUAUCACAUGUAGACUGUCCUGAGGUUCAGAGAGAAAGGAUGCACACAUACAGCUGUAUCACAUGUAGACUGUCCUGAGGUUCAGAGAGAAAGGAUGCACACAUUCAGCUGUAUCACAUGUACUGAUAUUUUACUUUGGUACCAAAACCACCCUGGAUCAAAACCAGAAUUAUUGCUCCUCAUCAGUGAAGGAGAGAAAAAGGAAUAAACCCAUUCUGGACUGUCUGUUAAACUAAAUUAACAGAAGACCCAGGUGGAUCUGGAGAUCUCCUCUGCUGAAGUGACAGACUCUGUUCUGUACUACCGAGCCCUGCAGCCCACGGUGACAGAAACCCAGAGACAGUGUACAAAAGCACUACUGUAUGUUAAGGUGGGAUUAAUAGUAGACUACGGGCUGAACAUCUGAAAUGACAUAGAAACAAG